This 435-nucleotide ribosomal RNA is filed under the name Triticum aestivum (bread wheat). RNAcentral describes it as "partial small subunit ribosomal RNA". The record is from RNAcentral. Lineage: Eukaryota; Viridiplantae; Streptophyta; Magnoliopsida; Poales; Poaceae.
AUGAGGUUUCUGGAUAAUUUGCAGUUCGGUCGGUGCCGUGGCGGAGGGUUGUCUUGUGGUUUGACCGGAGAGGGAGCACACCAGAGGAGCGAUCUCGUCCCCAUUGGUCAGCACAUUUACCUGCGAAUCUCCAGGCUAUGGUACCAGCGGGGUGGCUUCGAUGAUGGCCCUGUCAAGAGUAUACAUAUGGUCAUGACCGACGAAAGAAAUCAUGCCAACGGGACGGUGCCUAAUGAGGUCAUAGACAUGUUUGUGGACACUUUGAAUGAGAGAAAUUUAUACAAGCGUGCCAGGAUCUAUGUGAGGCAGUGGAAGGCACGUAUACGUUAUGGUUCACUAGAUCAACAAUUGUCCAUCACCUUGAGGGUGUUCCAUUUGGUCAUGUCUAUUAACAUGCUUAGUUGCUUCUUCUUUAUUAUGUUUCUGCUCCAAUAA